Molecule: ribosomal RNA, 338 nt
Filed under: Galapagia peruana
Lineage: Eukaryota; Metazoa; Arthropoda; Insecta; Mantodea; Thespidae
Description: partial 12S ribosomal RNA
Source: RNAcentral
AUACCCUAUUAUUUUUAGUGUAAAAUUGAGUAGGCUUGAGUAGUAGUAGAAAGGAUCUUGAAACUCAAAGAAUUUGGCGGUAUUAUAAUCUUUUUAGAGGAAUCUGUCACGUGAUCGAUAGUCCACGUUGAACCUUACUUAUUUUGAUUUUCUUGUAUACCGCUGUUUGAAGUAAAUACUUUUAGGUUAUGAAUUUUCUUAAUAAAUUAAUAAUUAGGAUUUCAAGUCAAGGUGCAGUUAUGGAUAAGUGUUAGAUGGAUUACAAUAAAAUUUAUUUAAUGGACGGAUUAUUAUUAAAAUGUAUAAUGAAGGUGGAUUUAAUUGUAAUUUUUAAAGAU